Molecule: long non-coding RNA, 2238 nt
Organism: Zea mays
Lineage: Eukaryota; Viridiplantae; Streptophyta; Magnoliopsida; Poales; Poaceae
Exons: 2
Source: RefSeq, a predicted model, not a curated record
GUCUCCUAAAAUUUGAAUUCAAAAGGAUUUGUGAAUCAAUCACGGAUCUGAAAAUACGAAUAGACUUGGGGUUUUGCCUUUUUGAUCAAAACAAGUUGAGAUCAAUCCACAACCAAAAACUGUGUAAACCAGAGGUUCUUAGUGAUCUAAGGACUUAAUCAAACCUAGAGAGAAACCCCAAAACAACCCCCAAGUCAAGAACUUGAAGGUUCUUCACAACCACAAAGAGAGGGAAAGGAAGAACACAAAAACAAAAAUGACUCAAUUUCAGCGGAGACAACUGAGAAAACGAAUUGAACUGGCCCUAUGGAUGGAUCCGGCCACCCUUCCUUUAAGUAGAGCAGUGAAGAUUACAAACACAGACGCAAGUUCAAAACAUAUGUGAAUCUCGAUAGAGGGAAACUAGAUUUUCUAAGCGGAAGCCUAAAACAAAUAGCCAAAGAGAUGGUUGUCCACAAUAGCCCACCCAUCUGUUUAUAGAAGGUUAUUUCAAUUUCCUAAACUAUCCCGAAAUACAUUGAUCCUAGCCACUUAGCCGGGACGAAAUGGACAAAAUCCUGGGAUUUUGAUCUGACGGCCAUGCACUAUACAUGAAGUUGUUUCGCCUUGACACACCCUUCGUGAUGACGCCACGUGCCGUCUCUGAUUCCCGCCAGAAUUGCCACUGAGUUUUGAGGCCAAACUCGGUCGAAACCCGUCGUCUGUAGCGCUGGGUGGUUUUUCGAGGAUCAACCACCAAACCACAGCGAGUAGCGCACCGUGUGUGUGCGUCCCCCACGUCCUAGACAUGUGUCUCCCCAGUCCUCGACAAUGCUGGCAACAAGGCCCGCUCCGCCACGUCCUCACGUGAGUGCAUGUCCCAGGUGUCAGCCACCACGGCUAGUUACCCGAUGACACUGGUCCCUCGGUCAAGUCACAGCACUCGUCAUUCACCACUCCCGAUCCAUCACCAUGAAUCUGCAUGACCUUCACUUUCACCGUCGACCACUGUACCUGUGCUCCACACCUGCACACCACAAGCAGCCGAGAGACAUGGUGGCACACAUAUAACUCACGCCUCAGUUAGUCCACGACUCAACCCAAGACGCUACCCGUUGACAAUCACUCAUCAUCAACCCGAACCAUAAGAGACAAAUUAACCUUAUUUCGCAAUACAUCUUUAACAUGUACGUUUAGUUUUUUUUCUUUAGUCGUGUGUCUAUCACUUAGCCAUAUAUAGGCUAAGAGUUUUGUUCCGUAGUCGUGUAUUAACUUGAUGUACUGCUCUAGGAUGCAUUAAAAUCUUCUUUUUCAAAGAAAAAAAUCUUUCAAUUUCUAGGAACCCAAACAACAAUGCCUUAUAUAAAGAGAGAGAGAUAGGGAGCCAUUUUGAGAUAUUCUUCUACUAGCAAAAAAUCUGCACUGCUGGUCAAUAGUUUUGCACACAUGAAUCUGCUGAAACUACAAAGUCAUCAUUCGGUAUGCCAAAAUAUUGCUCCUUCGCAUCACCUUCCAAAUUCACAGUAAACUGACUCAGGCACAAGACACCACCACUAGGGGUAGACAAGAAUUGAUCGCAACCGGUCAUUUCAAAUUCAUGAGAUAACGCUGCAACCCACCAUAUAUUGCCUGUUGUGCCAAUUUACAGGACUAUAGCAACAAGGAAUUAAUGCGUCAAAAAGUACUUGGCUCAAACAGUUUUGCACCUUCUAUAAAUUGGAUGCCACACAAACGAAUGUGCGUAUCGAACCAACCGAAGAUCAUUGCUGGCAAGGAGAGCUACGUAACCGGUUCAUCAGGCUCACCCAAGAUCAGCAAUGAAGAUUCUUGUGUGUGCUAUUCUCAUGCUUGUCCUCAUCGGCAAUUGCACUGCAGAGAUGCCCCCGAUAAUGGCUGCAGAAAAGAGCCGUGACCAGCUGGUCGCAGGACGAGCAAAGCCAUGUGUAACGUUGAAGGAGGAACAUGGUACUAAUAACAAAAACAGUCCAGGACCAGGAGAGCAUGAGCCUCGCCCUACUUAAACCAUGUGUAUAUUGACCUAAUUUCCCAGAAAACUUAAACCGUCUACGUACUACCCGUCUUAGAGACGAUGACGGUAUAUAUGCGUGUGUAAUCUAUCUAUCUAUCUACAUACAUAUAUAAAUAAAAAUGGAUGCGGCUGUCAAAAAGGGGUGGCACAAUAUGUACCUCAUCUCGCCUCCAAACUUCCAGGUCACAACUCACCAAGAAUAUGAAUUACAUAGAAAAAAAUUAUUAUCA